This 386-nucleotide ribosomal RNA is filed under the name uncultured prokaryote. RNAcentral's name for it is "bacterial SSU rRNA". It matches the Rfam family "Archaeal small subunit ribosomal RNA", at positions 339 to 725 of the family's 1478-position model. The record is from RNAcentral.
GCGCGAACACUUUACAAUGCCGGCAACGGCGAUAAGGGGACCUCGAGUGCCAGGUUACACAUCUGGCUGUCGUGAUGCCUAAAAAGCAUUGCAUAGCAAGGGCCGGGCAAGACCGGUGCCAGCCGCCGCGGUAACACCGGCGGCUCGAGUGGUAACCGUUAUUAUUGGGUCUAAAGGGUCUGUAGCCGGCCGGAUAAGUCUCUUGGGAAAUCCAGCAGCUUAACUGUUGGGCUUUCAGGGGAUACUGUCUGGCUGGAGGCCGGGAGAGGUGAGAGGUACUUCAGGGGUAGGGGUGAAAUCUUGUAAUCCUUGAAGGACCACCAGUGGCGAAGGCGUCUCACCAGAACGGACCUGACGGCAAGGGACGAAAGCUAGGGGCACGAACC